UCAUUAUCAUGGCGCCGUGUUUGAUUGCAUUGUUUGAUCAAUUCUCCUCGGGCAAGAGUAAUGAGAUCCCAGGGCUGAGAGAAAACACUGGGAGGACGUUACUGUGUCUGCUGCUCUACAUCACAUGCAUCUCUUAGAGAACACACACAUUAUUUGUCAGCAGGUGAAACAAACCGGAGAGCACUGGAUUAUGUUUUUCAUGUAGAAGUGCAGCAAUAGAGAGGGAUUUGUGCCACAAAGAGCCUCACAUUUGUCCUCACUUGCACCCACUUUGUUUACCACCAGACCAACAGCUGGGACUCCUUCAAUCAAGGUUAUGGCAGCAAUCUCCCAGAAUGCCACGCAGCGCCAUGAAUCCCCCCUGGGGUGACAUCCAGUGUUUUUAAUCUCGCCAGGAGUCAGAUGCAGGGGAGCCAGUUACUGUCUCUUUUCAGCUUCUCUUCAGAUAACCAGAAUCAAUUUCCCAGCCUGAUGAAAAUCUCAGUGAGCGCCGGCAGGCCAGAGCGAAGGGAAAGAUCGGGUGAAAGAUUGCUGGUGUUAUGUAAGUAUGUUAAACGUUGCGUUUGCACAGCAAGAGAAAGAACACGGCGGUCUCGCGCUGCAGCAGUGAUUCAUCCUGCUGUCAUGUUAGGAGGUUAACUAAAAAUAAACAAAUAUCUGCCAACAUCGUUCAUGACUAAUUAAAACGUCUGAUUUUGUCCUGGUAAUCGGUCUUGCUUUCAUAUAAAGUGAUAUAUUGAUCCCACGAGCUGGGAAGAGCACAAUGCUUCACAUUCACCAUUGUGCAGACACACUGAUGCAGGGACCAGCUUGGGGUUUAAUCACUAACCACAGGUACUACCAGCCUCCUUUAAGUCUUGGGGUCACAUUAUUUUUCCUUGUAGCACACAAACUGUCAGUAUCUAUCGCGGACAUUUUUAGUUAGCAGCUUGGCUCUAUAGAUGGCAAUGUUGGCUUAUUGUUUGGUCCAGACUAAAAUAUCUCAACAAAUAUUGGAAGGAUUGCCAUUAAACUUUGUGCAGACAUUCAAUGUCUGAGCCCCAUUUUAACAUCACAUUUCUCCGCCUCAUGGCAUCCCCGUGUGCACCGCAACACACAGAAAGCUAGCAUAACUUAGCUAAAUAACACAGUACCACAGCUAGCCAUUGUGCAUUUAAACCCACCCAUGAAGAGGCAGCAAAGACCAAGCAGGACUUCUAUUUACAAUCAAGACUACCUGGUAUUAAACUGAAAUAUAUGGCUUCUGUAUGUGCCUGCAUAGAGUUGUGUAUUUAUUUAUUAACCAUACUAUUUCAUUAGUAGGGUGUUAUUUUUGUUAUACAACUAGGAUAGUUAUUCUUGACACAUCCCACUUUUUAACCAUCAAUAUGACAGAAUAGUUCAACGUACUGCAGAUAAAGAAUCUUGAAUCGAUUUAUCUCUUGCAACAAAUAAUAAAGUAACUUAGGCAGUGACCAGUGCUAAAUGAAGAGCCAUUAGGGAGCGGUGAGGACAGGAAGUCAAGUGAAAUAGCAACAAACUAGUAAAUAAUGGUCUAGUAAGUUUUGGCCUUCAUGUCACUUAGGGUAACGUUACUCUAUUAAAGACCUACCACUCAUACUGACAGCUGUCACAUCAUGAUUUGCGCUGCACCGGUCCGAGUCAUCCACUCGUCAUGUUGGGGCUGACAGCUCUGAACUAUCAAUGCCGUUCAAUCCUGACAAAGUGGGGGAAUCUUCUCCAUAAAUAUCAGUUAAUAUUCGGCUGUAUGCAGAUGUUUUUGGUGAAGGACCCUGUUGGCAGGUUUUUAAGAGCCGAUGAAUCCUUUUUGGCUUUUCAUAAGAGAUCUUUCCAUUUCUUCCUGACCUCUUCAACUGUCCGCCAUCACAUUCGUUAUUGAUUGCACUGGUGAUCGAUUUCCAUGCUGAUAAUUUUUGUUUGUUUGUGUUGUUUCAUUUCACUGUGAGAACCUUUCUAUGCCCUGCAUACAACUCUAUAAGUUUUCUUAUUUCUCUAUCGGUAAAAAUAAUGUUCCUUUUCUUUUGGUUUGUGUUAUCCAUACCUUGUGCACGCUUUGGCAACAAUCAUCGCGUGUAUUCACAUGGACAUAAAUCAUAAGACCGAGCGCAGCUACAGUGCUUGGUGCCCUCGGUGUGAAUUCAAACCACAAAGUCGGACGUAGCUAAGACCCAGCCCAGCUGGUGCACUCGCCUCCUGGAGUCUACGCUGGUUGCUUGGCAGCAGCUGCAGCCUCCUGGGUCAAACCAUCCACUCUGCAAAUCCCCCCCCCCCUCCUGCUGCUGUUGCACAUGUACAGAGGACAGAAACAAAAACAGGUGAAGGUUGUUUGGAUCUGCCACAGUGAACAUCUGCCAUGUGUGUUUUUUGACAGCAGAGAAAGCAGCCCUCCCCCCACAGAGGCCACAGCAAUCCGACAAAUGAGAGCUCCACGUGUGGACACAACGCUGCGUGGACACGUGCACAGAAGGAAAAUAAAUUGCAGCCUGACAUUGCUCUCGCCUGCUUGGCUCAGUUUUUUUUUUUUCUCCGAGCACUUCCUUGACAACGGCACUACAGAGAGAAUAUUUAUUUUCAUCACCAGCCCUGUCCACCAAGGCCUCCUCUGUUCGUCUUUGACCAAAACCAUCUCAGUAAUUGGAGCGAAUGGUUUACAGUCAUCAUUAAAUUCUCAAAGUACAAUA
Long non-coding RNA from Siniperca chuatsi (mandarin fish), 2681 nucleotides. RefSeq lists it as uncharacterized. Lineage: Eukaryota; Metazoa; Chordata; Actinopteri; Centrarchiformes; Sinipercidae. The record is from RefSeq and is a predicted model, not a curated record. The transcript is spliced from 2 exons.